Molecule: ribosomal RNA, 852 nt
Filed under: marine metagenome
Description: bacterial SSU rRNA
Rfam family: Bacterial small subunit ribosomal RNA
Source: RNAcentral
CGCCGAAAGAUGAGCCCGCACUUGAUUAGCUUGUUGGUGAGGUAAAAGCUCACCAAGGCAACAAUCAAUAGCUGUUCUUAGAGGAAGACCAGCCACAUUGGGACUGAGACACGGCCCAGACUCCUACGGGAGGCAGCAGUGGGGAAUCUUGCACAAUGGGGGAAACCCUGAUGCAGCGAUGCCGCGUGAGUGAAGAAGGCCUUUGGGUUGUAAAACUCUUUCGUCGGGGAAGAAAAUGACUGUACCCGAAUAAGAAGGUCCGGCUAACUUCGUGCCAGCAGCCGCGGUAAUACGAAGGGACCUAGCGUAGUUCGGAAUUACUGGGCUUAAAGAGCUCGUAGGUGGUUAAAAAAGUUGGUGGUGAAAUCCCAAGGCUUAACCUUGGAACUGCCAUCAAAACUUUUUAGCUAGAGUGUGAUAGAGGAAAGUGGAAUUUCUAGUGUAGAGGUGAAAUUCGUAGAUAUUAGAAAGAACACCAAAUGCGAAGGCAACUUUCUGGAUCACUACUGACACUGAGGAGCGAAAGCAUGGGUAGCGAAGAGGAUUAGAUACCCUCGUAGUCCAUGCUGUAAACGAUGUGUGCUAGACGUUGGAAAUUUUAUUUUCAGUGUCGCAGCAAAAGCGUUAAGCACACCGCCUGGGGAGUACGACCGCAAGGUUAAAACUCAAAUGAAUUGACGGGGACCCGCACAAGCAGUGGAGCAUGUGGUUUAAUUCGAAGAUACGCGCAGAACCUUACCAACUCUUGACAUGUCCGUCGCGACUUAUAGAAAUAUGAGUCUUCGGUUCGGCCGGACGGAACACAGGUGCUGCAUGGCAGUCGUCAGCUCGUGUCGUGAGAUGUUGGGUUAA